GGGUGCUCGAGUGGCGAACGGGUGAGUAGCACGUGAGUAACCUGCCCUUGACUUUGGGAUAACUUCAGGAAACUGGGGCUAAUACCGGAUAGGAGCUCCUGCUGCAUGGUGGGGUUGGAAAGUUUCGGCGGUUGGGGAUGGACUCGCGGCUUAUCAGCUUGUUGGUGGGGUAGUGGCUUACCAAGGCUUUGACGGGUAGCCGGCCUGAGAGGGUGACCGGCCACAUUGGGACUGAGAUACGGCCCAG
This 247-nucleotide ribosomal RNA is filed under the name uncultured Actinomycetales bacterium. Its description in RNAcentral is "partial 16S ribosomal RNA". It matches the Rfam family "Bacterial small subunit ribosomal RNA", at positions 85 to 334 of the family's 1533-position model. The record is from RNAcentral. Lineage: Bacteria; Bacillati; Actinomycetota; Actinomycetes; Actinomycetales.